AACAGGAUUAGAUACCCUGGUAGUCCACGCCGUAAACGAUGUCGACUUGGAGGUUGUGCCCUUGAGGCGUGGCUUCCGGAGCUAACGCGUUAAGUCGACCGCCUGGGGAGUACGGCCGCAAGGUUAAAACUCAAAUGAAUUGACGGGGGCCCGCACAAGCGGUGGAGCAUGUGGUUUAAUUCGAUGCAACGCGAAGAACCUUACCUGGUCUUGACAUCCACGGAAGUUCUCAGAGAUGAGAAUGUGCCUUCGGGAACCGUGAGACAGGUGCUGCAUGGCUGUCGUCAGCUCGUGUUGUGAAAUGUUGGGUUAAGUCCCGCAACGAGCGCAACCCUUAUCCUUUGUUGCCAGCGGUCCGGCCGGGAACUCAAAGGAGACUGCCAGUGAUAAACUGGAGGAAGGUGGGGAUGACGUCAAGUCAUCAUGGCCCUUACGACCAGGGCUACACACGUGCUACAAUGGCGCAUACAAAGAGAAGCGACCUCGCGAGAGCAAGCGGACCUCAUAAAGUGCGUCGUAGUCCGGAUUGGAGUCUGCAACUCGACUCCAUGAAGUCGGAAUCGCUAGUAAUCGUGGAUCAGAAUGCCACGGUGAAUACGUUCCCGGGCCUUGUACACACCGCCCGUCACACCAUGGGAGUGGGUUGCAAAAGAAGUAGGUAGCUUAACCUUCGGGAGGGCGCUUACCACUUUGUGAUUCAUGACUGGGGUGAAGUCGUAACAAGGUAACC
RNAcentral lists this ribosomal RNA (730 nucleotides) under uncultured bacterium. RNAcentral's name for it is "bacterial SSU rRNA". It matches the Rfam family "Bacterial small subunit ribosomal RNA", at positions 771 to 1501 of the family's 1533-position model. The record is from RNAcentral.